Molecule: ribosomal RNA, 473 nt
Filed under: uncultured bacterium
Lineage: Bacteria
Description: bacterial SSU rRNA
Rfam family: Bacterial small subunit ribosomal RNA
Source: RNAcentral
GAUGAACGCUGGCGGCGUGCCUAACACAUGCAAGUCGAGCGGAGAGAGACGAGUAUUCGUACAAAUCUCUCUUAGCGGCGGACGGGUGAGUAACACGUGAGUAACCUGCCUUCUUCUGGGGAAUAACACAGAGAAAUUUGUGCUAAUACCGCAUAAAGUCACGACUGGGCAUCCAGAUGUGACCAAAGGAGCAAUCCGGAGGAAGAUGGACUCGCGUCCGAUUAGGUAGUUGGUGAGGUAACGGCCCACCAAGCCUACGAUCGGUAGCCGAACUGAGAGGUUGAUCGGCCACAUUGGGACUGAGACACGGCCCAGACUCCUACGGGAGGCAGCAGUGGGGAAUAUUGGGCAAUGGGGGAAACCCUGACCCAGCAACGCCGCGUGAAGGACGAAGGCCUUCGGGUUGUAAACUUCUUUGAUCAGGGACGAAACAAAUGACGGUACCUGAGGAACAAGCCACGGCUAACUACGUG